CCAUCAUGGACCUUUCAGCCCAACGGAAUAUGACUCAUGAGCAAACCAGAUGAUCAGAUGGAGGCUCAGAGGAUUACGGGACUCGCAGUGGCAUACAAUGAGAAGGUGGGGAAAUCUAGAUUAAGGCCCAGGAUGCAAAAUCACUGGAGACUGAGC
Long non-coding RNA from Orcinus orca (killer whale), 156 nucleotides. RefSeq lists it as uncharacterized. NCBI's taxonomy places the organism in Eukaryota, Metazoa, Chordata, Mammalia, Artiodactyla, Delphinidae. The transcript is spliced from 3 exons. The record is from RefSeq and is a predicted model, not a curated record.